Molecule: long non-coding RNA, 351 nt
Organism: Prionailurus viverrinus (fishing cat)
Lineage: Eukaryota; Metazoa; Chordata; Mammalia; Carnivora; Felidae
Exons: 3
Source: RefSeq, a predicted model, not a curated record
CAGGAAAAGGCUUUUCCUGUGGAACGCCUUGAAGUGAGAAACACAUGGCUAAUCUGCAUAAACGCGAAGCCACACCGCCCCUGCCAGGAAGGUUAGUGCUCGUAAUCUCUGGCCAUGAAGCUGGCUGCCUGGGAGGACUUGGACUGGCGCCUGAUAACCCAGAAAGAGCCGAGAGAGAACAGAUGGGGACAGGCGGCAGCUGUUGAUCCAGUUCCCGUUCGGGACCCUCCCCUGUUGAGGAGCAUUCCAGGCGGGGACAAAUAUAAAAGUAUUUCGUGGCUUUGAAAAUUGUUCAAAAACCCUUACUCCGGCUGAAGAGAAACUGCCCAGAAAUCUGUUUAGUUCUAUCCC